AUUGAAAGCACCAGUGAGCUCCAGGCCGUUACUUUGAAGUCCUGGGCAUGUUGAUUAAUGAGUCACAAGCUGGCAGAGCUCCAGCCUUUCAGGACCGGGUUUCCAAUGUCCUUGCUGCUGCUUUCUGCUGUUCAGACGCUUCCAAGUCAAUUGUGAAGGCCAUGAGGCUCCGACCCUGCCCGCCAGUGAGAUCUCUGGUCCCCAGGAUGAGCCCAGGACCUGGCUGUUGCUGUCACCACCCUGACCUGCAGAGAAGCUCCAGACUCGAUUCUCUAACAACACAGGAGAUCGGUUCAGAGUCAGUUAUUCCGUCACCUCCACGCUCAACGCUGGGAAAGUCACCAGCUGUAGCAUCUGACACCACCGUCGAAGUUUCUACAUUUUGAAGAAAUGGUACCAGUUAUGGAAACCCACUCC
This 417-nucleotide long non-coding RNA is filed under the name Capra hircus (goat). RNAcentral describes it as "lncRNA (ENSCHIG00000007587.1)". Lineage: Eukaryota; Metazoa; Chordata; Mammalia; Artiodactyla; Bovidae. The record is from RNAcentral.